This 253-nucleotide ribosomal RNA is filed under the name uncultured bacterium. RNAcentral's name for it is "partial 16S ribosomal RNA". It matches the Rfam family "Bacterial small subunit ribosomal RNA", at positions 524 to 776 of the family's 1533-position model. The record is from RNAcentral.
UACGGAGGGUGCGAGCGUUGUCCGGAAUCACUGGGCGUAAAGGGCGCGUAGGCGGCCUGAUAAGUAGGGGGUGAAAUCCUGCGGCUUAACCGCAGGGCUGCCUUCUAAACUGUCAGGCUCGAGCACAGUAGAGGCAGGUGGAAUUCCCGGUGUAGCGGUGGAAUGCGUAGAGAUCGGGAAGAACAUCAGUGGCGAAGGCGGCCCGCUGGGCUGUUGCUGACGCUGAGGCGCGACAGCGUGGGGAGCAAACAGG